UAGUGGGUGGUCAGCACGAUGGUGUGGCCUUCGCGAUUCAGGCGCGAGAUGAACUUCCAGAGCGUCUGGCGCAGUUCGACGUCCACGCCCGCGGUC
This 96-nucleotide transfer RNA is filed under the name Burkholderia gladioli. RNAcentral describes it as "tRNA-seC(tca)". The record is from RNAcentral. Lineage: Bacteria; Pseudomonadati; Pseudomonadota; Betaproteobacteria; Burkholderiales; Burkholderiaceae.